RNAcentral lists this microRNA precursor (74 nucleotides) under Schistosoma japonicum. RNAcentral describes it as "mir-3479 microRNA precursor family". It matches the Rfam family "mir-3479 microRNA precursor family". The record is from Rfam by way of RNAcentral. Lineage: Eukaryota; Metazoa; Platyhelminthes; Trematoda; Strigeidida; Schistosomatidae.
CAUGUUUGUGAGGUGGAUGUUAGUGCAAUUUAGUGACGUAAAUAUAUUGCACUUACCUUCGCCUUGCAAAUAUA